Molecule: long non-coding RNA, 235 nt
Filed under: Gossypium barbadense (sea-island cotton)
Lineage: Eukaryota; Viridiplantae; Streptophyta; Magnoliopsida; Malvales; Malvaceae
Description: long non-coding RNA (GBAR_LNC009520)
Source: RNAcentral
CCUCCAUAAUGGCCUUAAGAACCUUACCUUUGCCGAAAUUGAUGACUAGCUCCAGCCACUCCGAUGAUCCAAACUAAUCCAAGUCGACCCUAUGCCUUGCUGCUCCUCCACUAAACAAACCAUAAAAAGAUUAAAAUAAAAACCCAAUAGAGCCUAUACCCAUAUUCGGCCAUCUCUUAAACUAUAGGGGUUUCGGCUUUUGUCAACAGUUACUAUAGGAAUCGUUUAGAGUUCG